GAAGGACGAGCCAGUGCUUAGCGUCGACUGGGCCGAAGCAUAUGAGCAUGGUGGAAUGGUGAUCAAUGCAAGGAUGAUUAGGAAGAAGAACGUGCCCAUUUUUCUUGGUGUUGAUGGAGUUGUAUGGUCGAAGGAAACAAUGCCGCUUCCCCUUGAAGCAAGAAGAAAGAACUGGCACUGGGUAAACUGCACGCACCACAGCGAUCAGAAGCAGGACCAAGUGAUCUAGUGGCAAAUCGAUUGAAAUUCAGUGGUAGCUAACAGCACGUACGGGAGGGUCCAAGGACCAAGUGCUAGUGGACAGAUAAAUCCGAUGCAGCGGCAAUCAAUCCGGAGCAACCAAGCACUGGUGGACAUAGCAGCAAGCAAGUGACUUGAAUUGGAACAAGCGCGAAGUCCCCCGGAGGCUCGAGCGGAGUGCAGCAUUUUGCCUCCCCUGAUUCAGGGAGCUCGACAUUUUGCAAAUUUCAGAAACUAUAUUUUGAAGUUUGAAAAAUUCGGAACUAUAUUUUUAAGUUAUGAAAAUCCGAUAUUUUUCAUGGAUA
Molecule: long non-coding RNA, 545 nt
Organism: Lolium perenne
Lineage: Eukaryota; Viridiplantae; Streptophyta; Magnoliopsida; Poales; Poaceae
Source: RefSeq, a predicted model, not a curated record